This is a long non-coding RNA of Acipenser ruthenus (sterlet), 2455 nucleotides long. RefSeq lists it as uncharacterized. The transcript is spliced from 3 exons. The record is from RefSeq and is a predicted model, not a curated record. NCBI's taxonomy places the organism in Eukaryota, Metazoa, Chordata, Actinopteri, Acipenseriformes, Acipenseridae.
UGGUGGAGUGUGAUUUCACGGCAGAAGCCUGAAAAGCAGAGGCUCUGGAGCAGCGACUCGGAGAGACGGAGUGGCAAUUCAGCGCGAGGCUGACAGACCCGGGGUGCAAGCAAGCCACAUGGGUACUGGAUAAUGGCUUUGUCAGAAGAAACACGUUAUUGUGCCAACAAAUCUGGUAACUUCCUUUAAAACCAAAUUAGCAACAGCUCUGUUACACUUGAUGAAACCGCUCAUAAUGGUAGCAGCUCAACCGCAAACAACUUUAACAUUUGAAAUAACAUUGAUGUUUCAGCAUCUAAAAACUGUGUCAACAGUUGUGCCAAUGGUCCUCUCUAACUUGACGUUUGACACCCACAGUGGGUAUGCAGUCGCAGUGGGGCAAAAUAUCACUGGAAACGGAGCUCUUCACCACGGUAUGCCAGCUUCUGAUCCUUCAUGUCACCUUUGAGGCUGGCAUCAGCCACACCCACCAGCUCAGUGACGACUCCCCUGCCUUCCAGACCUUGAACCACCUACAGCUGGCGGAGAGCUACGGUCGGCAGUACUGCUUCCUUCAUACCCAGGUCUUCCAUCAGUACAGCACUGGUUGCAGCUUUAACAUCUCAGUCACUGUAUAUUCUGACAAGGGGGUAGUAAAUGCAACAUUACCCAAAGAAUUACGGGUUUACGAGCCCAUAAAGAAUGUCUUUCCGUCAGUGUUUGGGGACCAAGUUAUCCCUUCCGGAGUCAAUACUACCUUGUUGAUCAAUAGCUACGCGGAUAGGACUGGGUCUUCUGUCAGUUGGAACAUCAGAAAGGACAACUAUACAAUACAACCACUUCAGACUGGUCUCUGACACAUGCAUUUCAAGACACAGGGUUUUAUAUACUGCAGGCUGUAGCGUCCAACCCUAUCAGUGACGCCUCGUUUUAAGACUGAACUAGUGGUCCAGGAUGUUAUCUCAGUAGGCUAAAUCCGGAGUGCAUACCUAGUGGUACCCUAGUCACUGUCAGUGCUAGAGUGGUCACUGGAACAAAUGUCACUUACACAUGGAGCUUUAACAUAAACUCAAGCAUUAUUACUGAUGGGUCACAAAGUGCCCAUGUGUAAAGUCAUCCAGGUGCUUAUUUGGUUACUGUCAAAGCAGAAAAUAAUGUAUUGUCCUUAGUGAUGGCCUGGAAUUCACAGUUCAAGAUCUGGUUGGGGACUUUGUAGUUGACAUACCAGGUAUGGUGACCGUGAAUCAUCAUCCAACAAUGUUUUUUGCUUUGCUGUCUGGGACCAACGUGACUCUGGAGGUUUUUACCAAUGGCACCCUUAUUUUCAAUCGCAGUAGCUAUGUGAAUGGGAACCCAGUGAGCAUGGAUUUUAUUUUCAAUCAGAUGGGAUGUUUGCAAGUUGUGGUUAGAGCCUCCAAUCGUGUGUCGUCUUUCAGCAGUACUACAGUAACCCUUGUGGUCAAAGAGAUACAUGUGGUAACAAAAGAAACUCCACAGCAGCCAGUGCUAGGAGAGAGCAUCAUGGUAAUGGUUAAUGGCAAGUAGAGUGUCUGUCACUGAUAUUCCUUUACCAGCCAAAACACCUUCUAGCAUUGUAGCAAAGUGGUUAAUAGUGUGCAGGUGCAGGUGAUUAAAGAACAGACAGACAAUUGUAAUCCAGGUGAAAAGGUUUGUUUUUAUUUGUUUUGUCCAGUGCCUGACGGCGAAACAAACAGUAAAUAAUAAUGCUGGUAAGUAAUACAGCAACGAGUAUUACUUACAUUUAUAAUCCCCAAGCUGUUCCCAAAAUAAUAGUCCCGUUAUUGUAUCCCCACAUUAAACACAAAACACAUACACAAGUCCCUUUAGUGUGUGAAUUAGUGUUUGUGGUACAAUACAAGUUACUGUGAAACAAGUGAAGUGCUGUUCCCGGUUUGUGCUGGCCUCUGGCGACAGCUCCGGAACGUGUUGGCUGUCUAGUGAUAAAAGUAACAAAUAGACAGAACAAAACAAAACACUCACGGUUAUCUCCACAACAAACACAGGUCCUUCCGGGUCACUUUAUAAUAACCAAAACGAAGGAACAGAUAACAUUGCUUUGACCCCUAUUUAUACCGUCACUCAUGACCCCUUGGUACACAAUUGCAGCUGUGUUUUAUGAUCUGCAGCUGCCACACUAUUUCUCCUCUGGGUCAAUGAGUUAGUGUACCGAAGCUCCGUCUCUUUUCUACGUGACCGACUUCUAUGUAAGCCUCGGAACGAAGUGUCAGGCCAAGUAGUCCAGGGUACUCUGUUCCCGUUACUUAGUACCCUCACAGGUCGAGAGGGAGAUUUACCACCAAGAAUCAUUGUCUUUCUGUCACAAGCAUCUAUAAUAACCAAAACUUUAAUUUGGCUGGCAUGUAGCUGUUUGUCAGUGACUCUCACAUCUCUUAUUGUUAUUGUUUCAGGACAUCUGUGGACAAAUGGAAGUUAUAUUUAUUACUGGACCCUGCCC